This 157-nucleotide small nuclear RNA is filed under the name Pogona vitticeps (central bearded dragon). RNAcentral describes it as "U1 spliceosomal RNA (ENSPVIG00000001759.1)". It matches the Rfam family "U1 spliceosomal RNA". Rfam says of the family: U1 is a small nuclear RNA (snRNA) component of the spliceosome (involved in pre-mRNA splicing). The record is from RNAcentral. Lineage: Eukaryota; Metazoa; Chordata; Lepidosauria; Squamata; Agamidae.
ACUCAUACAUUGUAGGAGAUAUACCAUGUUGUAAAAAUGGUUUUCCCAGGGAGAGGCUUAUCCAUUGCACUUUGGGUGUGCUGCUGAUCUCUGUGAAAUAUGGGGAACUCAACUGCAUAAUUUGUGUUAAUGGGAAAUUGCACUUGUGAUUUUCCUG